RNAcentral lists this ribosomal RNA (406 nucleotides) under uncultured bacterium. Its description in RNAcentral is "partial 16S ribosomal RNA". It matches the Rfam family "Bacterial small subunit ribosomal RNA", at positions 30 to 526 of the family's 1533-position model. The record is from RNAcentral.
AUUGAACGCUGGCGGCAGGCCUAACACAUGCAAGUCGAGCGAGCGGCGGACGGGUGAGUAAUGUCUGGGAAACUGCCCGAUGGAGGGGGAUAACUACGGGAAACGGUAGCUAAUACCGCAUACCAUCAGAUGUGCCCAGAUGGGAUUAGCUAGAAGGUGGGGUAAUGGCUCACCUAGGCGACGAUCACUAGCUGGUCUGAGAGGAUGACCAUCCACACUGGAACUGAGACACGGUCCAGACUCCUACGGGAGGCAUCAGUGGGGAAUAUUGCACAAGGGGCGCAAGCCUGAUGCAGCCAUGCCGCGUGUGUGAAGAAGGCCUUAGGGUUGUAAAGCACUUUCAGCGAGGAGGCGUUACUCGCAGAAGAAGCCCCGGCUAACUCCGUGCCAGCCGCCGCGGUAAUAC